This 475-nucleotide ribosomal RNA is filed under the name uncultured Planctomycetota bacterium. RNAcentral describes it as "bacterial SSU rRNA". It matches the Rfam family "Bacterial small subunit ribosomal RNA", at positions 29 to 505 of the family's 1533-position model. Lineage: Bacteria; Pseudomonadati; Planctomycetota. The record is from RNAcentral.
AAUGAACGUUGGCGGCGUGGAUUAGGCAUGCAAGUCGCACGAGAAGAACCUUUUGCUUGCAUUGGGUUCGGACAGUGGCGAAAGGGAGAGUAACGCGUGGUUACGUACCUUAGAGACCGGGAUAGCGUUGGGAAACUGGCGGUAAUACCGGAUAAUAUCUUCGGAUCAAAUGGUGUGAUUCCGCUCUAAGAUCGGACCGCGUACUAUUAGCUUGUUGGCGGGGUAAUGGCCCACCAAGGCUGCGAUGGUUACCGGGUGUGAGAGCAUGGCCCGGCUCACUGGGACUGAGACACUGCCCAGACAUCUACGGAUGGCUGCAGUCGAGAAUCUUUGUCAAUGGGCGAAAGCCUGAACAAGCGACGCCGCGUGCGGGAUGAAGGCCCUCGGGUUGUAAACCGCUGUCAGUAGUUAGGAAAUGCAUGGUGGUUAUCCAUCAUGUUUGACCGAUCUUCAGAGGAAGGACGGGCUAAGUUCG